This 618-nucleotide ribosomal RNA is filed under the name uncultured bacterium. RNAcentral describes it as "bacterial SSU rRNA". It matches the Rfam family "Bacterial small subunit ribosomal RNA", at positions 202 to 842 of the family's 1533-position model. The record is from RNAcentral.
AAGAUUUAUCGGCAAAGGAUGGGCCUGCGUCUGAUUAGCUAGUUGGUAAGGUAACGGCUUACCAAGGCGACGAUCAGUAGCCGACCUGAGAGGGUGAACGGCCACAUUGGAACUGAGACACGGUCCAAACUCCUACGGGAGGCAGCAGUGGGGAAUAUUGCACAAUGGGCGAAAGCCUGAUGCAGCAACGCCGCGUGAAGGAAGAAGGCCUUCGGGUCGUAAACUUCUGUCCUUGGGGAAGAAGAACUGACGGUACCCAAGGAGGAAGCCCCGGCUAACUACGUGCCAGCAGCCGCGGUAAUACGUAGGGGGCAAGCGUUAUCCGGAAUUAUUGGGCGUAAAGAGUACGUAGGUGGCAACCUAAGCGCAGGGUUUAAGGCAAUGGCUCAACCAUUGUUCGCCCUGCGAACUGGGAUGCUUGAGUGCAGGAGAGGAAAGCGGAAUUCCUAGUGUAGCGGUGAAAUGCGUAGAUAUUAGGAGGAACACCAGUGGCGAAGGCGGCUUUCUGGACUGUAACUGACACUGAGGUACGAAAGCGUGGGGAGCAAACAGGAUUAGAUACCCUGGUAGUCCACGCCGUAAACGAUGAGCACUAGGUGUCGGGGUCGCAAGACUUCG